Molecule: ribosomal RNA, 362 nt
Filed under: Salmonella enterica
Lineage: Bacteria; Pseudomonadati; Pseudomonadota; Gammaproteobacteria; Enterobacterales; Enterobacteriaceae
Description: partial 23S ribosomal RNA
Rfam family: Bacterial large subunit ribosomal RNA
Source: RNAcentral
CAUAGGUUAAUGAGGCGAACCGGGGGAACUGAAACAUCUAAGUACCCCGAGGAAAAGAAAUCAACCGAGAUUCCCCCAGUAGCGGCGAGCGAACGGGGAGGAGCCCAGAGCCUGAAUCAGCAUGUGUGUUAGUGGAAGCGUCUGGAAAGGCGCGCGAUACAGGGUGACAGCCCCGUACACAAAAGCGCAUGUGCUGUGAGCUCGAUGAGUAGGGCGGGACACGUGGUAUCCUGUCUGAAUAUGGGGGGACCAUCCUCCAAGGCUAAAUACUCCUGACUGACCGAUAGUGAACCAGUACCGUGAGGGAAAGGCGAAAAGAACCCCGGCGAGGGGAGUGAAAAAGAACCUGAAACCGUGUACGU